AUUAAUAUCUCAUAGUAUUAUUUUGCGGCAUCGUAUAAUAAUUAAAGAUUUAUUGGUAAGAGAUGAGCAUGCGUUCUAUUAGCUAGUAGGUGUGGUAACGGCACACCUAGGCGACGAUAGAUAGGGGUCCUGAGAGGGAGAUCCCCCACACUGGUACUGAGACACGGACCAGACUCCUACGGGAGGCAGCAGUGAGGAAUAUUGGUCAAUGGACGCAAGUCUGAACCAGCCAUGCCGCGUGCAGGAAGACUGCCCUAUGGGUUGUAAACUGCUUUUAAACGGGAAGAAACCCCCCAACGUGUUGGGGGCUGACGGUACCGUAAGAAUAAGGAUCGGCUAACUCCGUGCCAGCAGCCGCGGUAAUACGGAGGAUCCGAGCGUUAUCCGGAAUCAUUGGGUUUAAAGGGUCCGUAGGCGGCUAUAUAAGUCAGUGGUGAAAUCUGUUAGCUCAACUAACAAAUUGCCAUUGAUACUGUAUAGCUUGAAUAAUUGUGAAGUAGCUAGAAUAUGUAGUGUAGCGGUGAAAUGCUUAGAUAUUACAUGGAAUACCAAUUGCGAAGGCAGGUUACUAACAAUUUAUGACGCUG
This 587-nucleotide ribosomal RNA is filed under the name Flavobacterium sp. RNAcentral describes it as "bacterial SSU rRNA". It matches the Rfam family "Bacterial small subunit ribosomal RNA", at positions 162 to 748 of the family's 1533-position model. The record is from RNAcentral. Lineage: Bacteria; Pseudomonadati; Bacteroidota; Flavobacteriia; Flavobacteriales; Flavobacteriaceae.